GCAUAUCAAUAAGCGGAGGAAAAGAAACCAACAGGGAUUGCCUCAGUAACGGCGAGUGAAGCGGCAACAGCUCAAAUUUGAAAGCUGCCAACAGGCCGCGUUGUAAUUUGUAGAAGCUGCUUUGGGUGUCGGCCCGGUCUAAGUUCCUUGGAACAGGACGUCAUAGAGGGUGAGAAUCCCGUAUGUGAUCGGUGCCGGUGCCCGUGUAAAGCGCUUUCGACGAGUCGAGUUGUUUGGGAAUGCAGCUCAAAAUGGGUGGUAAAUUUCAUCUAAAGCUAAAUAUUGGCCAGAGACCGAUAGCGCACAAGUAGAGUGAUCGAAAGAUGAAAAGCACUUUGGAAAGAGAGUUAAACAGUACGUGAAAUUGUUGAAAGGGAAGCGCUUGCAACCAGACUUGCGGGCGGUCGAUCAUCCGAGGUUCUCCCCGGUGCACUCGAUCGUUCUCAGGCCAGCAUCGGUUUCCGGGGUGGGAUAAAGGCGGUGGGAAUGUGGCUCUUCGGAGUGUUAUAGCCCACCGUGCAAUGCCGCCACUGGGGACCGAGGACCGCGCUUCGGCUAGGAUGCUGGCGUAAUGGUUGUAAGCGACCCGUCUUGAAACACGGACCAAGGAGUCUAACAUCUAUGCGAGUGUUUGGGUGUCAAACCCAUACGCGGAAUGAAAGUGAACGGAGGUAAGAGCCCUUUAGGGUGCAUUAUCGACCGAUCCUGAUGUCUUCGGAUGGAUUUGAGUAAGAGCAUAGCUGUUGGGACCCGAAAGAUGGUGAACUAUGCGUGAAUAGGGUGAAGCCAGAGGAAACUCUGGUGGAGGCUCGCAGCGGUUCUGACGUGCAAAUCGAUCGUCGAAUUUGCGUAUAGGGGCGAAAGACUAAUCGAACCAUCUAGUAGCUGGUUCCUGCCGA
Molecule: ribosomal RNA, 899 nt
Filed under: Acephala macrosclerotiorum
Lineage: Eukaryota; Fungi; Ascomycota; Leotiomycetes; Helotiales; Mollisiaceae
Description: LSU rRNA
Rfam family: Eukaryotic large subunit ribosomal RNA
Source: RNAcentral